RNAcentral lists this non-coding RNA (28 nucleotides) under Rattus norvegicus (Norway rat). The record is from RNAcentral. Lineage: Eukaryota; Metazoa; Chordata; Mammalia; Rodentia; Muridae.
UCAGCAGCUGUUCGAAUAAGCAUGGUAA